UGCCAGCAGCCGCGGUAAGACGAGGGAUCCUAGCGUUGUUCGGAAUCAUUGGGCGUAAAGCGGAUGUAGGUGGCUUUGUAAGUCGGAUGUGAAAGCCCAGGGCUCAACCCUGGAAGUGCAUUCGAUACUGCGAAGCUUGAAUGUCGGAGAGGUUAUUAGAAUACCUGGUGUAGUGGUGAAAUACGUAGAUAUCAGGUGGAAUACCGGAGGCGAAGGCGGAUAACCAGCCGAACAUUGACACUCAGAUCCGAAAGUGUGGGGAUCAAACAGGAUUAGAUACCCUGGUAGUCC
Molecule: ribosomal RNA, 291 nt
Filed under: uncultured bacterium
Lineage: Bacteria
Description: partial 16S ribosomal RNA
Rfam family: Bacterial small subunit ribosomal RNA
Source: RNAcentral